CUACAGAAAAAUCCGAUCUGUGUCAAUACUUUUGUUCAUCAUUGUAUAUUAGACAGUAAAUCAUCGUUUAACAAAGUCAUGUCAGAUCGAACAAGAAAAGUCUUUUAUUGAGAAAGAUACUUCGAUUUUUCAUGGGUGGAAUUGAGAUUAAUGUUCGGAAUGUGUUUUCGAAAGGAAUUGGAACAUCGGAAAUGUUCAGUGAAUCGUUUGUGCAGCAUCGGAUCAGAAGUGAGGAUUUCUUUUUGACGAUGAAAUAAACGUACACGAACGAUUUGCGUGUGCUGUCGCUCGACAGCGAGAUGCAACGCGGUCUGCAAAUUGACGUUUUGCAAAUCCAGGUCAGCUUUUCCAGCACGUGCCAGCUGUUCAGCAACUUCGACGUGAUUGUUCAGAGCAGCCAGAUGAAGGGCCGUGUAACCAUCGUCCUUUUUCUCGUCAACUAUCCAUGGUCUCGGAAGUUUCGAGAGGAGCACCCGCAUUGCGCUGCAAUCAAAAGAAAAAUAUCACGUUUAAAAUACCACCAUCUAUGACUGUGUUGCCUGUGGACCCCAUGGACAGUCUUUCCUCGGGGCUACAGCCGGAAAGAGAUGUGACAGCUGCCUUUUGACAGGACCUCCUCGAGGUACCAGCACCGCUGUGGCACGAUAGCUAUGCAUAUGUUUAUUCUACGCACGUGUAUAUGGUAAAAUCAUCUUUCACAUGGCUAGCACGAACGACUCAAUUACAAUGGAUAACAUUUUCCGUAACGACAACUAAAAGAAAGGAACGGAGGAAAUACUAUUUGCACGAUUAACGGAAACAGUCCAUUACUCGCAUCGACUCGUAUAAUUGUCGCUUUACCGCAGAAUCGAUUUGCUCGCGGGUAACAGCCCUUUUCCCCGUUCUAUUCGAUUUCUCAGCGUCAUUACGCAUUUUACGUCUCUCCGUUUGCGCCUGGAAGACCGCCAUCGAAGACUAUAAAAUUUUUAUGCUGCUUCGCUGGCGUAUUUUUUUAUUAAGCCCGGUCUACGAUGGCUCGCAACGCGUUUUCCAGUGCAACCGCAGUUACGAGAUCGCGGAAAAAUUCGCCAAUUUUACCGGUAUAAAUAUUCAAAAGGGAUCGGCCACGGUAUUAUGACGUUAAAAGCUGUAAAUAGUUUAAUAUUAAUUAAG
Molecule: unclassified non-coding RNA, 1152 nt
Filed under: Bombus terrestris (buff-tailed bumblebee)
Lineage: Eukaryota; Metazoa; Arthropoda; Insecta; Hymenoptera; Apidae
Description: misc RNA ENSBTSG00005037550.1
Source: RNAcentral